GGAUGUCUGCUUCGACCUAUUCUUGACCGCAGCACAUCCGUUUUCCUUACAGUAUGUAGUACGCAUUCUACCUUUUCCUACAAUGAAUCCACCAGCAGAAAUUCCUGUACACAUCUUAUCAACAAAGAAUUUGAACCUCAAAGAGUUCUGGUGCUGGUGAUUAUUAAGUUCUUCACACUUCUCUCAUAGUGGAGCUUAAGAUUCUCACUGUGUUACCUAGGCUGCAGUGCAGUGGUGCGAUCUCAACUCACUGCAACCUCUACCUCCUGGGUUCAAGCAAUUCUCCUGCCUCAGCCUCCCAAGUAGCUGGGAUUACAGAGCUCAUGGUUUUUAAACAACUUGUGGUAAAAAUCUGGUGGAAAAGAUAACAACAGUAUAUGAUAUGGCAGAGUUGCACAGAAGAAUCAGAACAUUGUUUUAGAGAAACGUUGGGCAAUUAAUUAAGCCAGCUGAUUAAGUUUUAAAGAAGCUAAACCAUAUCAUGUCGAAAUCAGAGGAGCGAUGAAAGUGUGAGUGGUGGUAUUUCUGCUGUUCUCCCCCCUGAAGGCUUCUGCGAUUAGCUUCUAUGCCUUCCUUCCCUUAUGGGCAUUCAGAUCCAAACUACUUGCAACUGUAGACAAGGUAAUCAUUUAAUCAUUUGCAUCUUAUCUUUCCACUGAAAUACAGUUUAUUGAGGCUGUGUAACGGAGAGCUAGGGGAGACACAACAAGAAACCACAAUUCAGGUUUAGUUCAUAUGGUGUUUCAGAGUCACUAGACUUCAGUCAUUAACUUUACAUUAUUGGUAAGUCCAGCUAUGUGUACCUUUCACAAAAGCAAAGAAAGAGUUGGACUCAGG
This 837-nucleotide long non-coding RNA is filed under the name Homo sapiens (human). RNAcentral describes it as "PREDICTED lncRNA (TCONS_00257106)". Lineage: Eukaryota; Metazoa; Chordata; Mammalia; Primates; Hominidae. The record is from RNAcentral.